GUGGGGAAUAUUGGACAAUGGGCGAAAGCCUGAUCCAGCCAUGCCGCGUGUGUGAAGAAGGUCUUCGGAUUGUAAAGCACUUUAAGUUGGGAGGAAGGGUAGUAACCUAAUACGUUGCUACUUUGACGUUACCGACAGAAUAAGCACCGGCUAACUUCGUGCCAGCAGCCGCGGUAAUACGAAGGGUGCAAGCGUUAAUCGGAAUUACUGGGCGUAAAGCGCGCGUAGGUGGUUCAGUAAGUUGGAAGUGAAAUCCCCGGGCUCAACCUGGGAACUGCUUUCAAAACUGCUGAGCUAGAGUACGGUAGAGGGUGGUGGAAUUUCCUGUGUAGCGGUGAAAUGCGUAGAUAUAGGAAGGAACACCAGUGGCGAAGGCGACCACCUGGACUGAUACUGACACUGAGGUGCGAAAGCGUGGGAAGCAAACAGGAUUAGAAACCCCAGUAGUCC
This 450-nucleotide ribosomal RNA is filed under the name uncultured bacterium. Its description in RNAcentral is "partial 16S ribosomal RNA". It matches the Rfam family "Bacterial small subunit ribosomal RNA", at positions 354 to 796 of the family's 1533-position model. The record is from RNAcentral.